ACUCAUACACAAUAUGUCUCGAAUAUUUACACUUAUAUACAUAGAACAUUUACAUAGCGUUAUUAAAUCAGGUUAUUUAAAUUAGUUAUUCAUUUUAUCGACGCUUUUUGUUUCUUCACGGACAUAUUUCUGGUUGUUCAAAAACAUUCAGUCAGUGGGCGGAGCUUGUGUCGAAACGUGUUCUCGUCCUCAGAUCCCUUGGCUGCGUGUCUGAAUCUCAGUUCAGGGACGUGCUUGGAAAGAUGCAUGCCGAAAUCGACGCCAGAGUCAUAAAUUUAAAUCAGCAGAGAGAGCAGCUACCAUUAGGGAGAUAUAUGCACCACUACAUCAACAUGUUUAUCAUCUGCAGGAGUCAUUCCUGGCCCCAGAGUUUUUACAGUUGGUAAAAUACUGUACUUCAAGUGAUGCAACCACGGAAGGAUUAAUGAAACUCAUCCAAACAGAGGCAGGUGCCUCUGAGUGAGACGAAGUGUGUGGAAGUGGAGCAUCACGUAACUGAAGCUCUGCUUCACAGAGGCCAGCACAUGCACGAGCUCUGCCCAUCUCCUCAGGCCCACGCUGGACCUGAUCACAUGGAUGCAAGCUUCACAUGAGAGGAACAGACUCUGCCCUAUGUGUGGGUUAAUAUCAGUUUCGUCAUAGUCCGACUCCAUCUCAAUCUUCACCUGGGGCACGGGGCAGGACAUCCCUCUGGUCAUCGGCAUCGCCGGAGAUGAUGGACAGGAGAUCUUCAGGUGCAGAGUGAUGCUGUGGAAUGGCAACUUCCAGUUACAAGAGUGAGGAGGAGAAAGAGGAGAGGGCUAUGAGAGGAAAGAGGAACAGCUGAGGAGCAGUCUGUAUUAAGAUGUUAGUUGCAGGUGACCGCACAAGUGCUCCAGGGGAAAGAUCUGGGAUAAGGACACCCAAAGCAGGAGAAAGGCAGGAUAUCAUCCAGCCAUGCCAGAUCGUGUUGAGAGAAAACCAUGUCCAACAUCUUUCGUAUCACCAUAAGACCAAGUAUCUGGGGGAAGAUGAUAGCGAGGAAGGUGGAUUUGAGGAUCCAGAGAACAGCUAAGCACACAAUCUGCAGCAGUGUGAACAGGUGGACUCUUCUCAGCGGAACGUGACGCAGAUAAGGGAAAUCUGGCUGGUGUUUUGCUGGCAUCAUAAUCAGUUUGAUCCUGUCCCAGAACUAUAAAAGACAGGAUGUUUAAUUAGAUACGCAGUGGACAAAAAAGAAAAAUCUGUCAAUAUUUACUCACUCUCAUGUCAUUUCAAACCCAAGUGUCUCUUUCCAUUUAAUAAAAGUGCUUGAGGUCCAUC
Carassius auratus (goldfish) is the source of this 1302-nucleotide long non-coding RNA. RefSeq lists it as uncharacterized. The transcript has 8 exons. NCBI's taxonomy places the organism in Eukaryota, Metazoa, Chordata, Actinopteri, Cypriniformes, Cyprinidae. The record is from RefSeq and is a predicted model, not a curated record.